AAAGAGAAAGGCAGCAUCGCAACCCGGAGUCGCAGCCAAGUCCAGCACCAACUCCGGCCUGGAGCAGCAAGCUGUCGGAAGCAGACCGAUAGGAGAGCGCAUGCGCGAGAAAAGCGCCCGGCUAAGCCAGAGCUGAUCCUGCUAGUCAGCCAGUCAGCCAGCUGAUAGUUUUUGCUUACUGACUUUUCAUUCCCAGCGCCCACGAAAUUAGGAAGAAAAAGGAAGAUCGAUGACUCCAGAUGCUGCAAACACUGUUCCCCCUCCCUCCCAACCUGCUGCCUCUCGUGGUCCCGUGGAGCUUAGCAUGUUGUCAGGCAUCUUCAUCCCAUUCAAGGUCUUAUAAGUCUUCCCCCAAAUCGUCCCAAACAGUCCCCACUCAGAUCUAAACCCCAUCCUACCUGCUACAGUUUGCCUUUGCCCACCUCAGAGAGGAGAAUCUCUACCUUGGACAGGGCUCCCACACCAAGGGUCACCCUCGUCUCCCUUUGAUCCCAUUUUGGAUGAUCUCCAGGUGCUAGUUGGUCUUUGCCUCAGUUUCCCUGCAAGCCACAAACAGGAGGCCCUGGCCAGGUCUCUACCAGACAGAAGCCCACACCUCCCACAC
Molecule: long non-coding RNA, 604 nt
Organism: Nycticebus coucang (slow loris)
Lineage: Eukaryota; Metazoa; Chordata; Mammalia; Primates; Lorisidae
Exons: 3
Source: RefSeq, a predicted model, not a curated record